AGUAAAAUGGCUGAAUUUUAGGUAAUAAAUUGUAAAUUUAUUUAUGGGUGAAUACCCUUUUGCU
This 64-nucleotide transfer RNA is filed under the name Carausius sp. RNAcentral's name for it is "tRNA-Tyr". Lineage: Eukaryota; Metazoa; Arthropoda; Insecta; Phasmatodea; Lonchodidae. The record is from RNAcentral.